AAGUCGUAACAAGGUUUCCGUAGGUGAACCUGCGGAAGGAUCAUUAUUGAAGUUGCUGAGGGGUUGCUGCUGGCUCUCAGGAGCACUGUGCACGCCCUUCUCACUUUACCUUCAUCCACCUGUGCACACAUUGUAGAUCUUGGAUAACCUUCGGCUCGAUUUUAUCUGGCCGGCUAGGAGUGUUGCUCUUCUAACGAAGGGCUUCAGUCCAAUUUCCGGGUUCUAUGUAUUUCUCACAUACUCUAAGUAUUGUCAUAGAAUGUAUCAUGGGUCUUUAUGACCUCUAAAACUAUAAUACAACUUUCAACAACGGAUCUCUUGGCUCUC
RNAcentral lists this unclassified non-coding RNA (327 nucleotides) under air metagenome. RNAcentral describes it as "partial contains small subunit ribosomal RNA, internal transcribed spacer 1, and 5.8S ribosomal RNA". The stretch from base 1 to 46 matches the Rfam family "Eukaryotic small subunit ribosomal RNA", at positions 1786 to 1831 of the family's 1831-position model. The record is from RNAcentral.